This is a long non-coding RNA of Cuculus canorus (common cuckoo), 879 nucleotides long. RefSeq lists it as uncharacterized. NCBI's taxonomy places the organism in Eukaryota, Metazoa, Chordata, Aves, Cuculiformes, Cuculidae. The transcript is spliced from 5 exons. The record is from RefSeq and is a predicted model, not a curated record.
AUUUUCUGAUUCCUACCACUUCUAUAUUCUUAUUUCAUUAUUUUUUUCUAAAUGUAAUGGGAUAAUUUGUUGGUCUUGCAGUUUUGUUAGCCUUAAUUGGAUAUUUAAUAUCAGACCAUUUACUUACUGCUGGAUGUCUUUCAGCACUGUCUAAAUCAAAUAGAAAAUAUAUUUUGCCACCACUUUUUCUCUCCCUCAGGGCCUUGUAACACUGAUACAAGGAUUUUGGCUUCUCGAUCACCAUGAUUAUGAAGAGUCUAUGUACUUAUCCGAAGAAGGCCGGUCUUCAACUUUUACAGAAAUCACUUGCCCACCUCUGCCAUCAAGAAACAAUGCAAGUAGCACCGUGGCUCCAGAUGCGAAUUAUUCAAUCGCUCGUUUGCCAAGGACAGCAUAGGCAAGCACUCAAGUACCUACAGCGUAUGAAGCCAUCAGUGUCAACCUGUAGCGAAGUGCAGCUUUGCAUCACUGUGUUGUUGUCUGAUAGCAACAUACCGCAGAGUUAAACAGAGAAGAGCUCUUAGAACACAUGUACGAAAGCUGCCAGGAGAUGGGACUAGUGGAAGAAUUCCUGAAGCUUCCUUUCACCAACACUAACUAGAGUGCAUGAAGUCCUUCUUACGGACCAGGGCUUGUAUUCCAGCCAACGAAGUUCUUCCAGUCCGCAACCAACAGAGUGCCUGCUAUUGGCCAGCAGUCCAGCAGAAUCAACCAAUGAAGGUUAAUCUCGCGAGCUACAGAACCACCAGCCAAGAGACGUCCUCCCUCGAAUGUGGAGUUGUGUAAUACAUUUCUUACGACACCAGCUACAAAAUGGUCAUGACAAUGUCUGACAUGGAGUAGAGUUUUAGAAUUAAUAAAAAUGUUGUUUCUCCUACA